This is a long non-coding RNA of Salmo salar (Atlantic salmon), 553 nucleotides long. RefSeq lists it as uncharacterized. The record is from RefSeq and is a predicted model, not a curated record. Lineage: Eukaryota; Metazoa; Chordata; Actinopteri; Salmoniformes; Salmonidae.
AUCACACCCACUGAGAGGGCUCCGUUAGUCAAACAACCAGACCACUGCUCCGUUUCUCCGUUCUCCCCCACUGCACUUCUUCUCAAGUCAAUUACUAAUGAAAUGGAUUUCCUUCAUCGUCUCACAGAGAAAUGGGAGAGAGAGAUGGACUGGGCUGAAGUGUUUGGUAACUGGUGAAGACAGGAACUGAAAAUAUAACUUGUGAGGCCAUUGAAGUGAAGAAAUGGAUCAUAAGGGGGAAGAGAGUACGGAAAGGUUCUGACAGAUAUUUUGGGAUUUGUAUGAUUUUAAAUAAGGAAAAUAUGCAUGUUACAUUAUGACAAGGAGAAAGUCUAUAAUAACGAAACAUAGCAUUCAUAUAUUCCUAUCAACCAAUUCACUUCCUCCGGUAUAUAGUCAAAGGUUUGAGAAAAAUUUGAAAAAGGUUUGUCACAUUGAGGCCACCAUACAAUAGUGUUCUGGGCUUGUUAUUGUAGCAGCCUGCUAACAAUAUGAGAUGCUCUGCUCUGUCCUACAUGCCUUUCUAUUAGCAUAAUAAAAUCUGUCUUCUUUC